RNAcentral lists this ribosomal RNA (918 nucleotides) under Loxospora elatina. Its description in RNAcentral is "eukaryotic LSU rRNA". It matches the Rfam family "Eukaryotic large subunit ribosomal RNA", at positions 76 to 961 of the family's 3401-position model. Lineage: Eukaryota; Fungi; Ascomycota; Lecanoromycetes; Sarrameanales; Sarrameanaceae. The record is from RNAcentral.
UGCCUCAGUAACGGCGAGUGAAGCGGCAACAGCUCAAAUUUGAAAUCUGGCCCUCGGGCUCGAGUUGUAAUUUGCAGAGGAUGCUUCGGGUGCGACUCCAGGCCAAGUUCCUUGGAACAGGAGGUCAUAGAGGGUGAAAAUCCCGUACUUGCCUGGCGGUCUAGCCCAUGUGUAGCUCCUUCGACGAGUCGAGUUGUUUGGGAAUGCAGCUCUAAUUGGGAGGUAAAUUUCUUCUAAAGCUAAAUACCGGCCAGAGACCGAUAGCGCACAAGUAGAGUGAUCGAAAGAUGAAAAGCACUUUGGAAAGAGAGUUAAACAGCACGUGAAAUUGUUGAAAGGGAAGCGCUUGCAAUCAGACUUGCCUGCUGGUGAUCAGCUGUCCUUCGGGCCGGUGCACUCACCUGCAGUCAGGCCAGCAUCAGUUCUGACGGUUGGAUAACGGCAAUGGGAAUGUAGCUCCUUUCGGGGAGUGUUAUAGUCCGUUGUGCAAUGCAAUCUGUUGGGACUGAGGACCACGCUUCGGCACGGAUGCUGGCGUAAUGGUUGUCAGCGGCCCGUCUUGAAACACGGACCAAGGAGUCGAUCAUCUAUACGAGUGUUUGGGCUGCAAACCCAUGCGCGGAAUGAAAGUGAACGGAGGUGGGAGCUUUCGGGCGCACCAUCGACCGAUCCUGAAAUUUAUGGAUGGAUUUGAGUAAUAGUAUAGCUGAUCGGACGUAAGCUGACCCCCCUAACGUCCCUGUCUCUUUAAGCUUAACUAACGAACUUCACAGCCGAAAGAUGGUGAACUAUGCCUGAAUAGGGUGAAGCCAGAGGAAACUCUGGUGGAGGCUCGCAGCGGUUCUGACGUGCAAAUCGAUCGUCAAUUUGGGUAUAGGGGCGAAAGACUAAUCGAACCAUCUAGUAGCUGGUUGCUGC